This 582-nucleotide ribosomal RNA is filed under the name Salmonella enterica subsp. enterica serovar Stanleyville. RNAcentral describes it as "partial 23S ribosomal RNA". It matches the Rfam family "Bacterial large subunit ribosomal RNA", at positions 1213 to 1787 of the family's 2925-position model. Lineage: Bacteria; Pseudomonadati; Pseudomonadota; Gammaproteobacteria; Enterobacterales; Enterobacteriaceae. The record is from RNAcentral.
ACUGUGUGUUGUUGGGUAGGGGAGCGUUCUGUAAGCCUGUGAAGGUGUGUCGUGAGGCAUGCUGGAGGUAUCAGAAGUGCGAAUGCUGACAUAAGUAACGAUAAAGCGGGUGAAAAGCCCGCUCGCCGGAAGACCAAGGGUUCCUGUCCAACGUUAAUCGGGGCAGGGUGAGUCGACCCCUAAGGCGAGGCCGAAAGGCGUAGUCGAUGGGAAACGGGUUAAUAUUCCCGUACUUGGUGUUACUGCGAAGGGGGGACGGAGAAGGCUAUGUUGGCCGGGCGACGGUUGUCCCGGUUUAAGCGUGUAGGUGUGUGUUCCAGGUAAAUCCGGUUCACUUUAACACUGAGGCGUGACGACGAGGCACUACGGUGCUGAAGCAACAAAUGCCCUGCUUCCAGGAAAAGCCUCUAAGCAUCAGGUAACAUCAAAUCGUACCCCAAACCGACACAGGUGGUCAGGUAGAGAAUACCAAGGCGCUUGAGAGAACUCGGGUGAAGGAACUAGGCAAAAUGGUGCCGUAACUUCGGGAGAAGGCACGCUGACACGUAGGUGAAGUGAUUUACUCAUGGAGCUGAAGUCAGU